Molecule: long non-coding RNA, 1299 nt
Filed under: Ricinus communis (castor bean)
Lineage: Eukaryota; Viridiplantae; Streptophyta; Magnoliopsida; Malpighiales; Euphorbiaceae
Description: long non-coding RNA (RCOM_LNC000268)
Source: RNAcentral
GGAUCGUCAUCAGCGCGUCGUUGUGAGUCCGAUGGUGUGUUCGGAUCGUCGAUCGGACUCCGGCGGCUGGAGGCGAGUCGACCGAGCGACCGAGCGUCUUGAUGAUCUGUCUGUUCGGCUCGCUCCUACCGAGACACCUAAGCUGAGCUAGGAGGUCGCCUAAUUCUGUGAGUUAAAGUCAUAUAUCGUUUACGCACGUGUCAUGCAUAAAAUUUGAUUUGCUACUGAGAAUAUUUAUUUGCAAUUUCAAUUUUUCAUUCAAUUAUUAUUAUUAUCAUUUGCAUGAUGCUUUUAGUUACUAUUUAAAUAUGUUUUUCCUUUAUUACCAAUUUUAAUAUUGCAUGAUGACUCAGGAUGGGACGGCAGUAGAACAUAGGAGUUGGAUGAGUGUCCAAUAUAAUAUGAGAGAGAUAAGAAAAAGGUAAAGAGGUAAAAAUUUUGAGAAAGAAAGAUUAGGACCUGCCCUGGUCGAGCAUCGCUCUCUGGGCUUAGUAGAGUGUGGUUGCCGGAGUAAAGGUCCCUGGUCGAGCAUUGCUCUCGGGGCGCCGGCUUAUUUGGAUAUUUAAGUGACCAGACUGGAGGUAAGGUCCCUGGUCGAGCUUUGCUCUCGGGGCGCCAGUCUUAUUAGAUUAAGAGAGUCGAAUGGCUAUUAGAUUUCUUAUUUGGAUACUUAAGUGACCAGACUGGAGGUAAGGUCCCUGGUCGAGCUUUGCUCUCGGGGCGCCAGUCUUAUUGGAUAAGAGAGCCAAAAGGCUAAGGCUGAGAGUUAAGUGACCGGACUGGAGGUAAGGUCCCUGGUCGAGCUUUGCUCUCUGGGCGCCAGUCCUAUUGGAAUGAGAGGUUUGAGAUGAUAGAGUUGAGGUUAGUUGAGACAUAAGUGUUGAAAUAAUCGAGAUUUUAGAGUUGGGAUUAGAGUUCUACUGAAGUACUCUGUCCCGUUGCAUGUGGAAUAAAUUUUGUUUAAGCAUGGCAUGACACAUAUGUUUUAACAUGACACGUAUGGUUCGCGUGAUUUAUUAAUUAUUUUAAAAUUAAAUGAAUGUGACAUUGAGAUAUUUGAUACUGUUUUAGAUGUAUGAUUUUAACUCACUCUCGAGACUGACAGUCUCCAUUUAUUGUUUUUCAGAUUCGUGACUGUUAGUUCUCUCGCGACUCUUAUUCAGUAACCCGACUCCUUCAUCAUCGGGUGAAGUAUUUGAUUUGGUAUGUAAAAUGGUAAAUCUUAGAUUCUCCGCAGUAGUAAUUAGUAUAUGUAUCAGUUGUAAAUUUUCUGAGCUUCGGGUCUCGCCUAGUAUUUUU